AUUGAACGCUGGCGGCAUGCUUUACACAUGCAAGUCGAACGGCAGCGCGGGGGCAACCCUGGCGGCGAGUGGCGAACGGGUGAGUAAUGCAUCGGAACGUAUCCUGUAAUGGGGGAUAACGUAGCGAAAGUUACGCUAAUACCGCAUACGCUCGAGAGAGGAAAGUGGGGGAUCGCAAGACCUCACGUUAUAGGAGCGGCCGAUGUCCGAUUAGCUAGUUGGUGGGGUAAAGGCCUACCAAGGCGACGAUCGGUAGCUGGUCUGAGAGGAUGAUCAGCCACACUGGGACUGAGACACGGCCCAGACUCCUACGGGAGGCAGCAGUGGGGAAUUUUGGGACAAUGGGCGAAAGCCUGAUCCAGCCAUGCCGCGUGCGGGAAGAAGGCCUCGGUU
This 393-nucleotide ribosomal RNA is filed under the name uncultured bacterium. Its description in RNAcentral is "bacterial SSU rRNA". It matches the Rfam family "Bacterial small subunit ribosomal RNA", at positions 29 to 424 of the family's 1533-position model. The record is from RNAcentral.